UUUAUGGCGGCUGUACGUGGGGCACACUCGUGUGCGCCGGGUUCCUUGCUUUCUCGGUCUGUCAACCCGCGUAUAGCUGCCACCU
RNAcentral lists this non-coding RNA (85 nucleotides) under Pseudomonas palmensis. Lineage: Bacteria; Pseudomonadati; Pseudomonadota; Gammaproteobacteria; Pseudomonadales; Pseudomonadaceae. The record is from RNAcentral.